This 588-nucleotide ribosomal RNA is filed under the name uncultured bacterium. RNAcentral's name for it is "bacterial SSU rRNA". It matches the Rfam family "Bacterial small subunit ribosomal RNA", at positions 338 to 917 of the family's 1533-position model. The record is from RNAcentral.
CCUACGGGAGGCAGCAGUAGGGGAUCUUCGGCAAUGGGGGCAACCCUGACCGAGCAACGCCGCGUGAGUGAAGAAGGUUUUCGGAUCGUAAAGCUCUGUUGUAAGAGAAGAACGUGUGUGAGAGUGGAAAGUUCACACAGUGACGGUAACUUACCAGAAAGGGACGGCUAACUACGUGCCAGCAGCCGCGGUAAUACGUAGGUCCCGAGCGUUGUCCGGAUUUAUUGGGCGUAAAGCGAGCGCAGGCGGUUUAAUAAGUCUGAAGCUAAAGGCAGUGGCUUAACCAUUGUUCGCUUUGGAAACUGUUAGACUUGAGUGCAGAAGGGGAGAGUGGAAUUCCAUGUGUAGCGGUGAAAUGCGUAGAUAUAUGGAGGAACACCGGUGGCGAAAGCGGCUCUCUGGUCUGUAACUGACGCUGAGGCUCGAAAGCGUGGGGAGCAAACAGGAUUAGAUACCCUGGUAGUCCACGCCGUAAACGAUGAGUGCUAGGUGUUAGGCCCUUUCCGGGGCUUAGUGCCGCAGCUAACGCAUUAAGCACUCCGCCUGGGGAGUACGACCGCAAGGUUGAAACUCAAAGGAAUUGACGGA